CUUCCCUCUGGGGUGGGGUGGGUUCUGGUGGCCCUGUGUUCCCCUGCAGGAGGACCUCCUGAGGCUUCGGGCAGGAGCUGGUGCACACCUGGAGGAGAGUGCUGGUGAAUGGCAGGUGUGUGCCUCAGUGUCCUUGCUGCCAGGGUGUCAGCCCUGCUUCACCACUGGCCGUUUGUCUCUGUCCCCUCCACUGGCCUCUUGAAGCACAGAGACCCUCCGGUCAUCCUCUUCAGCGGUCCUCCCAGAGCUGUCCUCAGCAUGGCAGCCUCCACAGCCCCUGGGUGUCACCCCCGGUUUCGUGUCUGCCUCGGACUCCAGACCUGCCCCUCCCAGGCUGGCCCAGAUGGAUCCUCUACAGUGACUAACCCAAACCAGCACCAGGCAGGGACCCAAUAAACCUUUGUGAAUGGAGU
Molecule: long non-coding RNA, 413 nt
Filed under: Homo sapiens (human)
Lineage: Eukaryota; Metazoa; Chordata; Mammalia; Primates; Hominidae
Description: non-protein coding DIO3OS:17
Source: RNAcentral